GUAAUUAAUUGUUUUAUGUUUUGGGACCAUUUGGAAAAUAAUUGCAUGACAGUUCUCUUCGAUCUCCACAUUUCUUAAUGGUGAAUUAUUAAUCCUUAAUUGCCAUUACGAGUGUGCAAACAAUUCCGCUAACCCAACCCAAACCGACACGCCGACUUAUGCGGAUUGCAAGGGUGAGUGGGAUUGAAACAUACUUUUUUGCAAGUCGAUCAAACGAGUACUAUACGAGUUACAUUUUAAAACCCGCUUCUAAUCUGACC
RNAcentral lists this long non-coding RNA (260 nucleotides) under Actinidia chinensis (golden kiwifruit). RNAcentral describes it as "long non-coding RNA (ACHI_LNC000370)". The record is from RNAcentral. Lineage: Eukaryota; Viridiplantae; Streptophyta; Magnoliopsida; Ericales; Actinidiaceae.